Molecule: unclassified non-coding RNA, 381 nt
Filed under: uncultured Pseudomonadota bacterium
Lineage: Bacteria; Pseudomonadati; Pseudomonadota
Description: uncultured proteobacterium contains 16S-23S intergenic spacer region
Source: RNAcentral
UCCGGUUUAACACCGGCAGUCUCUCUAGAAUUCCCGGCAUGACCCGAUGGCAACUAGAAACAGGGGUUUCGCUCGUUGCGGGACUUAACCCAACAUCUCACGACACGAGCUGACGACAGCCAUGCAGCACCUGUGUUCCGGUUCCCUUUCAGGCACAGCCACCUUUCAGCAGCCUUCCAGACAUGUCAAGGGUAGGUAAGGUUGUUCGCGUUGCAUCGAAUUAAUCCACAUCAUCCACCGCUUGUGCGGGUCCCCGUCAAUUCCUUUGAGUUUUAACCUUGCGGUCGUACUCCCCAGGCGGGGUACUUCCUGCGUUAGCGCCGGCACCCAGAGGGUCGCUCCCCCAGACACCUAGUACCCAUCGUUUACGGCGUGGACUAC